UUCAAUUUUAAUCAAAGUAUUCUUUCUUGUUAAAUCUAUUGUUUAAUUAAGUUGAAGAAGGCGUGUUUUCCAACAAUUGGUAUCAGAGCUUGGUGCCUGCGGUUUUAAGAGUUGUUUUCGCCUGCGGUUUUGAGAGUUGUUUUCUGAGAAGGGGAAGCAGCCCCUCGCGGGGUUGCAACAGGGGUGAAAACAACAGGAGGGUUCGAUGAUUAGAGGUCACGGUAGAAGCACAUGUAAGUUUCUUUUGGAUCUUAAUUUUGGGUGGUGCUUUAUUGAAGCAGGUGGCCUAAAAUCUGAUGUGCACGGAGAUAACAACAAAAGAGAAAUAAUUUGUCGGUGAUAUUUUUUGGCAACUUUUUCUGGCUUGCACGAGAAGAAAAAAUUACGGGGAACAAAUUUUUUUUGGCGACUAAUACUUUAGAGCAGAACAAAGAUACACUUUGUGUUAUUUAACCAAAGAUAUUUGGAGGUUGUGUUGAUCGACCAAAGGGAGUAGCAAAAGAGUUUAAUCAAGGUUGAGUUUCGAAAGCUUUUUAGCCGUGAAGGGAAGUCAAUGGGUGAUUUUUUAAGGAAGUUUUUCAUAUAAAAAUCCAAUCAAGGUUACUUUCUUUAUUUUGUUCUCAAAAAGAAAAAAAGAGGCGACUGGUGAUUCGGGUGUGAUGAGCAGGCCCGGUGAUAAGUGUGGGCAAGUAGGGCAAUGGACCCAGGCCCAAAGACUUUGAGGGCCCAAAGUUUUUAAAAAUAUCCUAUAUACUAUAUGUUUUUGUUAUUGGGCCUAAACUGUUAACCUAAUUAUAAUAAUCAGCCUUCAUCUGUGAAUCUGUGAUUGACGUAUAUACGUAAUGAGCGGGAAUCCGAAAUAGAAUACGAAGCGACGACAGAGGUUUAACAGGCAGCGCACACACAAAGCAAUCAGAAAUCUGAAAUCGGUUCACUGUUCAGCAGCGCAGCGGCCACGAAAUCAGUUAUUCGGAAUCGCGUUACAGUGGCUCCAGGCCGAAAACGUUUCGAGAUUUCUCGGAGACGGCACUGGUGAUGAGCGAGUGGUGCGAACAAACACUGAUUAAGGGGUGAUCAAUUGUUGGCUUUAUUCGGGUUUGUUUGUGGAUCACAGGUCGGCGGUUUCGAUGGUUUAUGUUCUAGCGGGUCAAAAUGGUAGCGGAGACAAGUCGUGAUUCAGGCCAAAUCAGUGGUCUUGUUAACCCAAUUGUUGAUCGAAGAACGAGAAUGGAUCAUGUUUUUAUUUGUCGGAUACUCUUUCUUGCUUAGGAGAAGAAUCACAAGGAGGCGUCGAAUUCUUAUGGCAGAAAAACCAACAGGUUUAGCGCGGUAGAAACGAAACAACGGGGUGGCUGAGAUAUUUGUUUAGCGACUCGUAGACAGUGCAGCAGGUGGCUGGAGUCUAGUUGGGGGUUGAUACGCAAGGGGUGCUUAUUAAGGAAGAGUUUGAUAGAAUAGUAAAAUCACGAUCAAAGACGACUUUGGACGUGGUAAAGGUGAAGACCGGGGUGUCUAGGAUAGGUCGAGUUAUUGGGAGGCUUUGGACGUGACCGGGGUUGAGGUCGGGGGUCCGGUAGAAGUCAGAGAUGGUAGAGAUCGAGGUGAUGGUCGAGUACAACGGGGUGUCCAAGGUGGGAGAAAAAGGAAGAGGUGAACCUUGAGCCACGUCAGGUGUUACAAAUGCAAUGAGUUCGGGCAUUACAUAUUGGAGUGUCCAAGGUGGGAGAAAAAGUAAGAGGUGAACUUGACCCGAUAUGAGGAUGAUGGGCCGGCUCUAAUGUGAAGAAAGUGAUUGACAAGAUUAGGGGGGUGAUUGUUGGGACUAAUCUUGUCAUAACUCAGAAGUUGGUGGAUGCUAAGUGGUUUAGCUUAUUUUUUGUGAAAGUUUAAUUAUUUAUGUCUAGGUAUGUUUCUUGGGCAUCAAGGUUCUUUCGUAUAAAUAGGGGUUAUAUGUUUAGGGUUUAUGUACCUUCAAUUUUAAUCAAAGUAUUCUUUCUUGUUAAAUAUAUUGUUUAA
RNAcentral lists this long non-coding RNA (2016 nucleotides) under Helianthus annuus (common sunflower). RNAcentral describes it as "hypothetical non coding rna". The record is from RNAcentral. Lineage: Eukaryota; Viridiplantae; Streptophyta; Magnoliopsida; Asterales; Asteraceae.